Molecule: non-coding RNA, 72 nt
Organism: Phrynosoma platyrhinos (Desert horned lizard)
Lineage: Eukaryota; Metazoa; Chordata; Lepidosauria; Squamata; Phrynosomatidae
Source: the annotation of a GenBank genome assembly
GCCAGUGUGGUGUAGUGGUUUGAGUGCUGGACUACAACUCUGGAGAUCAGGGUUCGAUUUCCCACUCAAGCA